RNAcentral lists this ribosomal RNA (256 nucleotides) under uncultured Glomus. Its description in RNAcentral is "partial 18S ribosomal RNA". It matches the Rfam family "Eukaryotic small subunit ribosomal RNA", at positions 624 to 886 of the family's 1831-position model. The record is from RNAcentral. Lineage: Eukaryota; Fungi; Glomeromycota; Glomeromycetes; Glomerales; Glomeraceae.
AAGCUCGUAGUUGAAUUUCGGGAUCGAAUUGUUGGUCGUGCUUCGGUACGCACUGGCAUUAUCGGUUCCUACCUUCUGAAGAACCGCGAUGUCAUUAAUUUGGUGUCGUGGGGAAUCAGGACUGUUACUUUGAAAAAAUUAGAGUGUUUAAAGCAGGCUCGCGCUUGAAUACAUUAGCAUGGAAUAAUGAAAUAGGACGUUGAUCCUAUUUUGUUGGUUUCUAGGAUUGACGUAAUGAUUAAUAGGGAUAGUUGGG